UACGAAGGGGGCUAGCGUUGCUCGGAAUGACUGGGCGUAAAGGGCGCGUAGGCGGAGUGCUUUGUCGGGCGUGAAAUUCCAGGGCUCAACCUUGGGGCUGCGUUCGAGACGGGCAUUCUAGAGUGGAGAAGAGGGUCGUGGAAUUCCCAGUGUAGAGGUGAAAUUCGUAGAUAUUGGGAAGAACACCGGUGGCGAAGGCGGCGACCUGGGCCAAUAUUGACGCUGAGGUGCGAAAGCGUGGGGAGCAAACAGG
Molecule: ribosomal RNA, 253 nt
Filed under: uncultured bacterium
Lineage: Bacteria
Description: partial 16S ribosomal RNA
Rfam family: Bacterial small subunit ribosomal RNA
Source: RNAcentral